Molecule: ribosomal RNA, 803 nt
Filed under: uncultured bacterium
Lineage: Bacteria
Description: bacterial SSU rRNA
Rfam family: Bacterial small subunit ribosomal RNA
Source: RNAcentral
AGAGUUUGAUCAUGGCUCAGAUUGAACGCUGGCGGCAGGCUUAACACAUGCAAGUCGAACGGUAACAGGAAGAAAGCUUGCUUUCUUUGCUGACGAGUGGCGGACGGGUGAGUAAUGCUUGGGAAUCUGGCUUAUGGAGGGGGAUAACUACGGGAAACUGUAGCUAAUACCGCGUAAUAUCGAGAGAUUAAAGGGUGGGACCGCAAGGCCACCUGCCAUGAGAUGAGCCCAAGUGGGAUUAGGUAGUUGGUGAGGUAAAGGCUCACCAAGCCGACGAUCUCUAGCUGGUCUGAGAGGAUGACCAGCCACACUGGAACUGAGACACGGUCCAGACUCCUACGGGAGGCAGCAGUGGGGAAUAUUGCACAAUGGGGGGAACCCUGAUGCAGCCAUGCCGCGUGGAUGAAGAAGGCCUUCGGGUUGUAAAGUUCUUUCGGUAGCGAGGAAGGCAUUUAGUUUAAUAGACUAGAUGAUUGACGUUAACUACAGAAGAAGCACCGGCUAACUCCGUGCCAGCAGCCGCGGUAAUACGGGGGGUGCGAGCGUUAAUCGGAAUAACUGGGCGUAAAGGGCACGCAGGCGGUGACUUAAGUGAGAUGUGAAAGCCCCGGGCUUAACCUGGGAAUUGCAUUUCAUACUGGGUCGCUAGAGUACUUUAGGGAGGGGUAGAAUUCCACGUGUAGCGGUGAAAUGCGUAGAGAUGUGGAGGAAUACCGAAGGCGAAGGCAGCCCCUUGGGAAUGUACUGACGCUCAUGUGCGAAAGCGUGGGGAGCAAACAGGAUUAGAUACCCCGGUAGUCCAA